This 85-nucleotide transfer RNA is filed under the name Hydrogenophilales bacterium 12-64-13. RNAcentral describes it as "tRNA-Leu". It matches the Rfam family "tRNA". Rfam says of the family: Transfer RNA (tRNA) molecules are approximately 80 nucleotides in length. Their secondary structure includes four short double-helical elements and three loops (D, anti-codon, and T loops). Further hydrogen bonds mediate the characteristic L-shaped molecular structure. tRNAs have two regions of fundamental functional importance: the anti-codon, which is responsible for specific mRNA codon recognition, and the 3' end, to which the tRNAs corresponding amino acid is attached (by aminoacyl-tRNA synthetases). tRNAs cope with the degeneracy of the genetic code in two manners: having more than one tRNA (with a specific anti-codon) for a particular amino acid; and 'wobble' base-pairing, i.e. permitting non-standard base-pairing at the 3rd anti-codon position. Lineage: Bacteria; Pseudomonadati; Pseudomonadota; Hydrogenophilia; Hydrogenophilales. The record is from RNAcentral.
GCCGACGUGGUGGAAUUGGUAGACACGCUAUCUUGAGGGGGUAGUGACCUAGGUCGUGCGAGUUCGAGUCUCGCCGUCGGCACCC